AAAAACAUUUCCUCUUGGUAUAAGAGGUAAGGCCUGCUCACUGACUAGGUUGAAGAGCCGCAGUAUAUUGACUGUGCUAAGGUAGCAUAAUCAUUAGUCCUUUAAUUGGGGACUGGUAUGAAUGGCUAAACGAGAAAUUAGCUUUCUUUGUUAUGGUUUGUUGAAUUUAACUUGUAAGUGAAAAGGCUUACAUGAUUCAGAAAGACGAGAAGACCCUAUAGAGUUUUACAAAGGCCUAAAAUACAGCUUAUUAGUUUUUAAGGGUUAUACUUUGGAAAUUUGUUUGGUUGGGGCGACAUAAAGAUAAAAAAAACUCUUUGAAGUAUAAACUUUGGUGGAAGAAAAGGUUUGAUCCUCUAAAAGGGAUUAUAAGAAAAAAUUACCUUAGGGAUAACAGCGUAAUCUUCUUUUAGAGUUCAAAUCGACAAGAAGGUUUGCGACCUCGAUGUUGGACUAAAAUUUGGGCAAGGUGCAGCAGCUUUGUUUUUGGGUCUGUUCGACCCGUAAUAUUUUACAUGAUCUGAGUU
This 527-nucleotide ribosomal RNA is filed under the name Capitulum mitella. RNAcentral's name for it is "partial large subunit ribosomal RNA". It matches the Rfam family "Bacterial large subunit ribosomal RNA", at positions 1809 to 2611 of the family's 2925-position model. The record is from RNAcentral. Lineage: Eukaryota; Metazoa; Arthropoda; Thecostraca; Pollicipedomorpha; Pollicipedidae.